This 253-nucleotide ribosomal RNA is filed under the name uncultured bacterium. RNAcentral's name for it is "partial 16S ribosomal RNA". It matches the Rfam family "Bacterial small subunit ribosomal RNA", at positions 524 to 776 of the family's 1533-position model. The record is from RNAcentral.
UACGUAGGGGGCAAGCGUUGUCCGGAAUCAUUGGGCGUAAAGAGCGUGUAGGCGGUUCGGUAAGUCGGCUGUGAAAGUCCAGGGCUCAACCCUGGGAUGCGGGUGGAUACUGCCGGGCUCGAGUCCGGAAGAGGCGAGUGGAAUUCCCGGUGUAGCGGUGAAAUGCGCAGAUAUCGGGAGGAACACCAAUGGCGAAGGCAGCUCGCUGGGACGUGACUGACGCUGAGACGCGAAAGCGUGGGGAGCAAACAGG